UGAGGAAUAUUGGUCAAUGGGUGCAAGCCUGAACCAGCCAUCCCGCGUGAAGGACGACUGCCCUAUGGGUUGUAAACUUCUUUUGUAUAGGGAUAAACCUACCCUCGUGAGGGUAGCUGAAGGUACUAUACGAAUAAGCACCGGCUAACUCCGUGCCAGCAGCCGCGGUAAUACGGAGGGUGCAAGCGUUAUCCGGAUUUAUUGGGUUUAAAGGGUCCGUAGGCGGACUUAUAAGUCAGUGGUGAAAGCCUGUCGCUUAACGAUAGAACUGCCAUUGAUACUGUAAGUCUUGAGUAUAUUUGANGUAGCUGGAAUAAGUAGUGUAGCGGUGAAAUGCAUAGAUAUUACUUAGAACACCAAUUGCGAAGGCAGGUUACCAAGAUAUAACUGACGCUGAGGGACGAAAGCGUGGGGAGCGAAC
This 421-nucleotide ribosomal RNA is filed under the name uncultured bacterium. RNAcentral's name for it is "bacterial SSU rRNA". It matches the Rfam family "Bacterial small subunit ribosomal RNA", at positions 355 to 773 of the family's 1533-position model. The record is from RNAcentral.